RNAcentral lists this long non-coding RNA (877 nucleotides) under Setaria italica (foxtail millet). RNAcentral describes it as "long non-coding RNA (SITA_LNC001447)". Lineage: Eukaryota; Viridiplantae; Streptophyta; Magnoliopsida; Poales; Poaceae. The record is from RNAcentral.
CUCUCCCGUUGCCUUAUCCCCUCGUAUCCCUCGUCCGGCGGCGCGGUCGUCCUCAGGCUCGGUGACGGCGGCGACGGAGGCGAGGGCCGACUUCCCGGCUUCAAGAUCCUGCGAAUCAGCAACGACGGAUGGCGCUCGGUGCUCAGCAGCUAGGCGGAGCGGCGGCACCCACGCAUGCGAGUAAACUUUCCUUUCGCUUCAUCGUUCGCUUCAGUGGUGAAGUCGUGAAGAUUAGUGAGGACUGAGAGGAAGGCAUGAACUUCGGUUAAAAGCCGAACACCGAACCGAAAAUACCGACACCGAAAUUGUCGGUUUUUGAUUUUGCUAUGCACCGAUCGGUUCUUGAUUCUGCAACACCGAAAUUUUUCAACACCGAACAAACCGAACCGAUUUGUCCUAGCCAAACGUACACAUCGAUUUCUCUCCUCAUUGAUUCCGCUCUUAGCUUGAAAAUAAAUGGUAAUUCAUUCUCUUUUCAGAAAGUGGUAAUUCAUCCCCACUCCCUUUUUGCAAACUAAAGGUGUUCGACACCCCUAGCCGUUACCUAGCUAGAGAUCCAACCCAAGGCCCAAUCUUGUGACGUGACUUCUCCACCACUGAACGAGUUCACUUCAAACUAGCCUGUCUUUUUUUUUCACUUUGUUUCUUUUGAAAUGUGGUCUGUCUCUGAAUUAUUAUCAUAACAAUCUGCCUUUUAAACACAAAAUUGCAGAAACGUAGUUCCCAAUGGCCAAUUCCCAUUGCAUACUCAUUCAAAGGAGGUGGGGGAAAAGGAUGGAUUUCAGAGAAUUCUGCCGAGGUCUCAAAGAACAGCAGCUACCAAAAGCAAGUCAGAAAUUGAAGGUUUGCAACCAGCAAGCUAGCGCUGGCGUGCUAC